GACGAACGCUGGCGGCGUGCUUACACAUGCAAGUCGAGCGAUGAGAUCCCUUCGGGGAUGGAUUAGCGGCGAACGGGUGAGGAACACGUGAAGAAUCUGCCUUCAACUCUGGGAUAACACCGGGAAACCGGUGCUAAUACCGGAUAUGAGCCUUGAUCGCAUGAUCGGGGCUGGAAAGUUUUUCGGUUGAAGAUGACUUCGCGGCCUAUCAGCUAGUUGGUGAGGUAAUGGCUCACCAAGGCGACGACGGGUAGCCGGCCUGAGAGGGCGACCGGCCACACUGGGACUGAGACACGGCCCAGACUCCUACGGGAGGCAGCAGUGGGGAAUAUUGGGCAAUGGACGAAAGUCUGACCCAGCGACGCCGCGUGCGGGAUGAAGGCCUUCGGGUUGUAAACCGCUUUCAGCAGGGAAGAAGCGAAAGUGACGGUACCUGCAGAAGAAGCACCGGCUAACUAUGUGCCAGCAGCCGCGGUAAUACAUAGGGUGCAAGCGUUGUCCGGAAUUAUUGGGCGUAAAGAGCUCGUAGGUGGUUAGUUACGUCGGAUGUGAAAAUCUAGGGCUCAACCCUAGACCUGCAUCCGAUACGGGCUAGCUUGAGUUUGGUAGGGGAGACUGGAAUUCCUGGUGUAGCGGUGGAAUGCGCAGAUAUCAGGAGGAACGCCAAUGGCGAAGGCAGGUCUCUGGGCCAAUACUGACACUGAGGAGCGAAAGUGUGGGGAGCGAACAGGAUUAGAUACCCUGGUAGUCCACACAGUAAACGAUGGGCACUAGUUGUGGGAACCUUCCACGGUUUCUGCGACGCAGCUAACGCAUUAAGUGCCCCGCCUGGGGAGUACGAUCGCAAGAUUA
Molecule: ribosomal RNA, 852 nt
Filed under: uncultured bacterium
Lineage: Bacteria
Description: bacterial SSU rRNA
Rfam family: Bacterial small subunit ribosomal RNA
Source: RNAcentral